GGGCGGGGCUGAGCCGCCCUCGCUGGUGACGCGAGCUGUAGUUGGGGAAAUGUGCGCUGGUUCCCCCUGCGGUCGGGAGAUCCCGAGCCUGAGGCGGGCGUGGCAGCCCCGACAGUCCUGACAUUGCCCAGCCAGAGCACCACGCGUCAGUCAGCGGCUGCUCCUACGCCAAGGGCGCUCAGAUUCCCCCAGGAAACCCCCGAGGGGUUAGCAAGCACCUAGUAGGUUUCGGUCCCAAGAUACUGAAGGAAGAUUUUACUUUACUCAGUUGAGAGAAAGCACACAAGAGAGCAAGCAUGAGCAGGGGGAAGGACAGAGGGAGAAAAGCAGAUUCCCCGCUGAGCAGGAAGCCCAACAUGAGGCUCGAUCCCAGGACCCUGAGAUCAUGACCUGGCUGAAGGUCAAUGCUUAACCAACUGAGCCACCCAGGCACCCCUUCCUUAUCUUUUUCUACUGUAUGCUGGAUAAUUUCUUUUUUUUUUUUUUAAAGAUUUUAUUUUUUUA
Ailuropoda melanoleuca (giant panda) is the source of this 504-nucleotide long non-coding RNA. RefSeq lists it as uncharacterized. The transcript has 3 exons. Lineage: Eukaryota; Metazoa; Chordata; Mammalia; Carnivora; Ursidae. The record is from RefSeq and is a predicted model, not a curated record.